UAGCAUAUCAAUAAGCGGAGGAAAAGAAACCAACAGGGAUUGCCCUAGUAACGGCGAGUGAAGCGGCAACAGCUCAAAUUUGAAAUCUGGCUCUCGGGCCCGAGUUGUAAUUUGUAGAGGAUGCUUUUGGUGCGGUGCCUUCCGAGUGCCCUGGAACGGGACGCCAUAGAGGGUGAGAGCCCCGUCUGGUUGGAUGCCAAUCCUCUGUAAAGCUCCUUCGACGAGUCGAGUAGUUUGGGAAUGCUGCUCUAAAUGGGAGGUAUAUGUCUUCUAAAGCUAAAUACCGGCCAGAGACCGAUAGCGCACAAGUAGAGUGAUCGAAAGAUGAAAAGCACUUUGAAAAGAGAGUUAAAAAGUACGUGAAAUUGUUGAAAGGGAAGCGUUUAUGACCAGACUUGGGCUUGGUUAAUCAUCCAGGGUUCUCCCUGGUGCACUUUUCCAGUCCAGGCCAGCAUCAGUUUGCUUCGGGGGAUAAAGGCUUCGGGAAUGUGGCUCUCUCCGGGGAGUGUUAUAGCCCGUUGCGUAAUACCCUGGGGCGGACUGAGGUACGCGCUUCUGCAAGGAUGCUGGCGUAAUGGUCAUCAACGACCCGUCUUGAAACACGGACCAAGGAGUCGUCUUCGUAUGCGAGUGUUCGGGUGUCAAACCCCUACGCGUAAUGAAAGUGAACGCAGGUGAGAGCUUCGGCGCAUCAUCGACCGAUCCUGAUGUUCUCGGAUGGAUUUGAGUAAGAGCAUACGGGGCCGGACCCGAAAGAAGGUGAACUAUGCUUGUAUAGGGUGAAGCCAGAGGAAACUCUGGUGGAGGCUCGCAGCGGUUCUGACGUGCAAAUCGAUCGUCAAAUAUGAGCAUGGGGGCGAAAGACUAAUCGAACCUUCUAGUAGCUGGUUUCCGCCGAA
Molecule: ribosomal RNA, 899 nt
Filed under: Fusarium decemcellulare
Lineage: Eukaryota; Fungi; Ascomycota; Sordariomycetes; Hypocreales; Nectriaceae
Description: LSU rRNA
Rfam family: Eukaryotic large subunit ribosomal RNA
Source: RNAcentral